CCCAACUAUCCCUAUUAAUCAUUACGUCGAUCCUAGAAACCAACAAAAUAGGGUCAAACGUCCUAUUUCAUUAUUCCAUGCUAAUGUAUUCAAGCGUUAGCCUGCUUUAAACACUCUAAUUUUUUCAAAGUAACAGUCUGAUUCCCCACGACACCAAAUUAAUGACAUCGCGGCUCCUCAGAGGGAGAAACCAACAAAACCAGUACGUACCAUAGGCACGACCAGUUAGUUGAUCCCGAAAUUCAACUACGAGCUUUUUAACUGCAACAACUUUAAUAUACGCUAUUGGAGCUGGAAUUACCGCGGCUGCUGGCACCAGACUUGCCCUCCAA
This 332-nucleotide unclassified non-coding RNA is filed under the name uncultured Glomeraceae. RNAcentral describes it as "sequence contains 18S rRNA gene". Lineage: Eukaryota; Fungi; Glomeromycota; Glomeromycetes; Glomerales; Glomeraceae. The record is from RNAcentral.